ACGCUGUCUGCGGGAGCGGUGAGGACAGCCGCGCCUCAGGCCCAGCCUCCGCGACCCCUCUUCAAAUCACUGCCCCAUUCACCCCUCCCCGCCCCCCGGUCCCAUCCGAUGCCGGAGACCAGGCUGCCAGUUCCCUGGGCCCCGAGCCAAGGACACUGAGGUUCACAGACUACCACCAUACGCUGGCUACAGCCGAAUGCUUCGAGAAGAGCCCCACCCCCACCCCACCCCCCCACUUCGGUCCCGCUGCGCCCCUUUCCUGGACUCCGGACUCAUCUCUAUCAGCUUAGGCAUCUCCCAGCGCUCAGAGCUCAGCGCCGCCCGCCCGCCCGGGAGUCUUCGUUGACACUGGCAUCCCAACCCGAUUUGUCUCCCGCUAUAAAAUAAGCCGCCCUUCGAGAGGAGAGUUCCUGGUAGUCCUAUUUCUACUUUCCAAGUCGUGUGUGGAGCUAUCUACAGCUAGGCUGCUGUAGACCCGGACCACAAUUCUUGAUACAUGUCAACAUUUGACCUUUCCAUUUUCCUUGGGAGGUAGGCAGGCAGGCAGGAAGUAACAUUCCCUUUUACAGAUGAGAAAGGUGAGGCCAAGAGAACAAAAGUCACAUAGUUGGUACACUUCCAUUCCUGACUGAACUGGGGCAGGGCAUCUCCAAAUACAAAUGCUUCCCCCACCCAAUCUCAUUCAAAUAGCCAAGUGGGGAAGGGAUGGUUUCACUAAGGGUGAGAACCCAUUAAAGCUGGAA
Long non-coding RNA from Gorilla gorilla gorilla (western lowland gorilla), 743 nucleotides. RefSeq lists it as uncharacterized. NCBI's taxonomy places the organism in Eukaryota, Metazoa, Chordata, Mammalia, Primates, Hominidae. The record is from RefSeq and is a predicted model, not a curated record. The transcript has 3 exons.